RNAcentral lists this ribosomal RNA (253 nucleotides) under uncultured bacterium. RNAcentral's name for it is "partial 16S ribosomal RNA". It matches the Rfam family "Bacterial small subunit ribosomal RNA", at positions 524 to 776 of the family's 1533-position model. The record is from RNAcentral.
UACGUAGGGUGCGAGCGUUAAUCGGAAUUACUGGGCGUAAAGCGUGCGCAGGCGGUUUUGUAAGACAGUCGUGAAAUCCCCGGGCUCAACCCGGGAAUGGCGAUUGUGACUGCAAGGCUGGAGUGCGGCAGAGGGGGAUGGAAUUCCGCGUGUAGCAGUGAAAUGCGUAGAUAUGCGGAGGAACACCGAUGGCGAAGGCAAUCCCCUGGGCCUGCACUGACGCUCAUGCACGAAAGCGUGGGGAGCAAACAGG